UACAGAGGUCCCAAGCGUUGUUCGGAAUUACUGGGCGUAAAGGGCUCGUAGGCGGCUCGUUAAGUCAGACGUGAAAGCCCUCGGCUUAACCGGGGAACGGCGUCUGAGACUGGCAAGCUUGAAUCCGGGAGAGGGAUGCGGAAUUCCAGGUGUAGCGGUGAAAUGCGUAGAUAUCUGGAGGAACACCGGUGGCGAAGGCGGCAUCCUGGACCGGUAUUGACGCUGAGGAGCGAAAGCCAGGGGAGCAAACGGG
RNAcentral lists this ribosomal RNA (253 nucleotides) under uncultured bacterium. RNAcentral's name for it is "partial 16S ribosomal RNA". It matches the Rfam family "Bacterial small subunit ribosomal RNA", at positions 524 to 776 of the family's 1533-position model. The record is from RNAcentral.